RNAcentral lists this ribosomal RNA (245 nucleotides) under uncultured bacterium. RNAcentral's name for it is "partial 16S ribosomal RNA". It matches the Rfam family "Bacterial small subunit ribosomal RNA", at positions 524 to 768 of the family's 1533-position model. The record is from RNAcentral.
UACGUAGGUGGCGAGCGUUGUCCGGAAUUACUGGGUGUAAAGGGCGCGUAGGUGGGGAUAUAAGUCAGAUGUGAAAUUCCUAGGCUUAACUUGGGCGCUGCAUCUGAAACUAUAUUUCUUGAGUGCUGGAGAGGGAAGCGGAAUUCCCAGUGUAGCGGUGAAAUGCGUAGAUAUUGGGAGGAACACCAGUGGCGAAGGCGGCUUCCUGGACAGUAACUGACACUGAGGCGCGAAAGCGUGGGGAG